This 119-nucleotide ribosomal RNA is filed under the name Pteropus alecto (black flying fox). Lineage: Eukaryota; Metazoa; Chordata; Mammalia; Chiroptera; Pteropodidae. The record is from RNAcentral.
GUCUACAGCCAUACUAUUCUGAACAAGCCCGAUCCCAUCUGAUCUUGGAAGCUAAGCAGGGUCGGGCCUGGUUAGUACUUGGAUGGGAGACCACCUAGGAAGACCAGGUGCUGUAGGCA